RNAcentral lists this unclassified non-coding RNA (310 nucleotides) under uncultured fungus. Its description in RNAcentral is "partial contains small subunit ribosomal RNA, internal transcribed spacer 1, and 5.8S ribosomal RNA". The stretch from base 1 to 73 matches the Rfam family "Eukaryotic small subunit ribosomal RNA", at positions 1759 to 1831 of the family's 1831-position model. Lineage: Eukaryota; Fungi. The record is from RNAcentral.
GCAAACUUGGUCAUUUAGAGGAAGUAAAAGUCGUAACAAGGUUUCCGUAGGUGAACCUGCGGAAGGAUCAUUGCCGAACUGUCGACACGGGUUGUUGCUGGUCCCCGCAAGGGGGCACGUGCACGCCCUGUCAACACAUCCACCCACACCUGUGCACUCUCGGUAGUUCUGUGGCCCCCCGCGGGCUGCAGCUCUGCUCCUUUACACACACUCUGUAACAAAGUCUCAUGGAAUGUAACCGCGUUUAACGCAAUAUAAUACAACUUUCAGCAACGGAUCUCUUGGCUCUCGCAUCGAUGAAGAACGCAGC